AACGAACGCUGGCGGCAGGCCAAACACAUGCAAGUCGAGCGAAGCCUUCGGGCUUAGCGGCGGACGGGUGAGUAACGCGUGGGAACGUGCCCUUUGGUACGGAAUAGCCCCGGGAAACUGGGAGUAAUACCGUAUGUGGUCGAGAGACGAAAGAUUUAUCGCCAAAGGAUCGGCCCGCGUUGGAUUAGGUAGUGGGUGGGGUAAUGGCCUACCAAGCCGACGAUCCAUAGCUGGUUUGAGAGGAUGAUCAGCCACACUGGGACUGAGACACGGCCCAGACUCCUACGGGAGGCAGCAGUGGGGAAUCUUAGACAAUGGGGGAAACCCUGAUCUAGCCAUGCCGCGUGAUCGAUGAAGGCCUUAGGGUUGUAAAGAUCUUUCGGUGGGGAAGAUAAUGACUGUACCCACAGAAGAAGCCCCGGCUAACUCCGUGCCAGCCGCCGCCGUAA
This 449-nucleotide ribosomal RNA is filed under the name uncultured bacterium. RNAcentral's name for it is "partial 16S ribosomal RNA". It matches the Rfam family "Bacterial small subunit ribosomal RNA", at positions 29 to 523 of the family's 1533-position model. The record is from RNAcentral.